Non-coding RNA from Cricetulus griseus (Chinese hamster), 1520 nucleotides. NCBI's taxonomy places the organism in Eukaryota, Metazoa, Chordata, Mammalia, Rodentia, Cricetidae. The record is from RefSeq and is a predicted model, not a curated record.
UUGUAUCACACUGACACUGUGUAGACAGCUGGAUGUUGUACCACUCUGACACUGUGUAGAUAGCUGAGUAUUAUAUCAUACUGACAUCUGUGUAGAUAGUUGAGUAUUAUACCACACUGUUCCUGGGAAUUAUGAACAAAUAUCUACCCAUCUAAGAUAUCCAAAGGAAGGAUACCACUGAGGUCCAACUUGAAGAACCAGUGUUUACUGGGGUUACUUGUAGGAGUGUGGGUGAGGGAUUACUCAAAGAAGCAGAAAUCAAAGACAGCUGUAUGACCAGAAGCCCAUCCAAAUAUAGAUGACAGCCCAGGAAAACUGGAACUGUAGAGCUCACAACACAACUUGAAGGCAGCUUGGCAGGCUAGAGAGUGUCUCUUCUAGGCAGAUCAACUAAUUAGAGUGUUAUUCAACAGUUCUUACUGUGUAUAUUAAACUGGGGAAGGAGGAGCUAAGUGAAUCUGGUCAGUUUUAGGGUCUUACUGAAGCUAUUGAGCUGUUCACUUCCUGAGCCUCAAUGAGCUUCCCUGCAGGGUGGAAUACUUCACCUCCCUAAAGAACAUCCUGCAUCUUAAAGAGUGUUCCUCUAAAUUAGAAUGUUUUAUCUAGGAUCAACUUGCUACAUAACUCUGUGAAAUAAGUGGAAUUAUCCUUUAAGCUUCAAGUUCUGCAGUACAGAAAAGGAUCAUUCAUUCAUUCAUGUAUGUACUUAUUGGGCCACAAGGAAUUACACCCAUGGUUUUGUGCACACUAGGCAAGAGCUCUGUAACUGAAAUAACAUCCUCAUCUCCCACUCCUUCACUUCCUGCUCUGUGUUAUGCUUAUUUUGAGAUAGGGUCUCCUAAAUUUCCUAGGGUGGCCCUGAACAUGUGGUCUUUCUGUCUCAUCCUUCCAAACAGAUGAUAUUCCAGUUGUGUCUCACCUUAUCCAGUUGUAGAUUGCUUUUUGGGAGAGAAGGAAUCAGCUGCAUACCUGCCAAGAACCGCAGCAAAAAGCAAAAACAAAAGCUGAAGAUGAACGAAGAUUUCAUCCAUUCAUUCUGAAACGUGUGCUGGACACUAACCAUGGGCCAUACACCAGUAGAUGCUGGUGAUUACUGGAGAGGAUGACAGAGUCUGUCCCCAGUCUCCUUAGCACAGACCACAGAGAAGAAAAAAAGCAGUCACAAAUACUGGUACAUCUCAGGUGCAGACUAACAGAAGUAGCCUUGAAAUCAUUGUAAAAUUAAGGAUGACCUAGAACUUCUGAUCCUCCUGCCUCCCCUUCCUAAGUGCUGGGAUCACAGCACCCUCAUCAACACCCUGGGAAGAGGAGACUGAGUGCAUGCUGACUCUGAUUUUGAGAAACAAGCACUUACAGUGGCUGCUAACUUGUCCUGACAUCCGAUUCAGUUUUGUACCUUCUAUCUUUUAUUUCCAGUAUUUCUUUUCCUGUUGUUGCCUGCCUGCCAUUUUCUCAUAUCCCCUUUGCAUACUUCUAGCCCUGCAGUAUGAUCUUUAAGAAAUUAUUCUGCAAAAUGUUUA